UGUGCGUUGAGAAAGAAGGACGUGAGCUCGUAAGGGAAGUACGGGAUGUGCUGAUAUUUAAAGGAGGUCUGAGAAGGGGUAAAAGUGGAAUUUUUACCGCGCCGGCGUUUUGAGUUUUUCGGGAGUAGUGGUUGUCGUGGGCGCCCGUUUCAAAAAGAUUGCAAUCAUCAGGUUGGAGACCGCGAAACGGAAGGAUAUUUUCAUUGCGUCUGUUUCGGAAGGGAAGUUGAAAAGAAUUUCGAAGUAAAGACUAUGUUUUACUCCGAAACU
This 270-nucleotide long non-coding RNA is filed under the name Setaria viridis. Its description in RNAcentral is "long non-coding RNA (SVIR_LNC003999)". Lineage: Eukaryota; Viridiplantae; Streptophyta; Magnoliopsida; Poales; Poaceae. The record is from RNAcentral.